Molecule: transfer RNA, 69 nt
Filed under: Trichonephila clavata
Lineage: Eukaryota; Metazoa; Arthropoda; Arachnida; Araneae; Nephilidae
Description: tRNA-Arg
Rfam family: tRNA (bases 3-62)
About the family: Transfer RNA (tRNA) molecules are approximately 80 nucleotides in length. Their secondary structure includes four short double-helical elements and three loops (D, anti-codon, and T loops).
Source: RNAcentral
GUGUAGCGCAAUGGACAGCGCGUUGGACCUCUGAUUCAAAGGUCGUGGGUUCGAAUUCCACCUGGGAUA